UGCAUUCACUACUGUAAGUCGCUCUGGAUAAGAGUGUCUGCUUAAUGAGUAAUA
Salmo salar (Atlantic salmon) is the source of this 54-nucleotide non-coding RNA. The record is from Rfam. Lineage: Eukaryota; Metazoa; Chordata; Actinopteri; Salmoniformes; Salmonidae.